CCUACGGGUGGCAGCAGUGGGGAAUAUUGGACAAUGGGGGCAACCCUGAUCCAGCCAUGCCGCGUGUGUGAAGAAGGCCCUCGGGUUGUAAAGCACUUUCAGUGAGGAAGAACGCCUGGUGGUUAAUACCCAUCAGGAAAGACAUCACUCACAGAAGAAGCACCGGCUAACUCCGUGCCAGCAGCCGCGGUAAUACGGAGGGUGCGAGCGUUAAUCGGAAUUACUGGGCGUAAAGCGCGCGUAGGUGGCUUGAUAAGCCGGUUGUGAAAGCCCCGGGCUCAACCUGGGAACGGCAUCCGGAACUGUCAAGUUAGAGUGCAGGAGAGGAAGGUAGAAUUCCCGGUGUAGCGGUGAAAUGCGUAGAGAUCGGGAGGAAUACCAGUGGCGAAGGCGGCCUUCUGGACUGACACUGACACUGAGGUGCGAAAGCGUGGGUAGCAAACAGGAUUAGAUACCCUGGUAGUC
This 465-nucleotide ribosomal RNA is filed under the name Vreelandella stevensii. RNAcentral's name for it is "partial 16S ribosomal RNA". It matches the Rfam family "Bacterial small subunit ribosomal RNA", at positions 338 to 795 of the family's 1533-position model. The record is from RNAcentral. Lineage: Bacteria; Pseudomonadati; Pseudomonadota; Gammaproteobacteria; Oceanospirillales; Halomonadaceae.